GCAGCAGCAGCAGCAGAAAGCUCGGAGCAUAUUUUGACGUUGACGUAUCUAAAGUCAAAUUCAAUUUACGCGCCGGCCUAUUAUAAACCAUUUUAAUUAAGUAAAGUGGAUUAAUUUGCGACUCGUUAGACUAAUUAAGGAUUAUCGCCAACAGCAACAGCAACAGCAACGCCGCGCCAGCCAUUUGAGAAAACUCGGCGACCCAAAGGAUAUGUGAAAGAACAACGAUAACAAAACGUGACCUUUUCAAUAUAAACGCUAUAAAUAGCUAAACAGUAAAAGACAACAACAACAACAACAAACAAAUAAAAUAAAAAUAAAAUAAUCUAACCGUCCACAAGGAGAAACAUUUAAUUGGAUUUCAGUUCGCCUUGGCUUUUCGGAUACAAUUAACCGUUUGGCACUGAGCCACCACGCCCAC
Molecule: long non-coding RNA, 421 nt
Organism: Drosophila arizonae
Lineage: Eukaryota; Metazoa; Arthropoda; Insecta; Diptera; Drosophilidae
Gene: Dnaaf5
Source: RefSeq, a predicted model, not a curated record